RNAcentral lists this transfer RNA (76 nucleotides) under Helicobacter pylori. RNAcentral's name for it is "tRNA-Gly". It matches the Rfam family "tRNA". From Rfam's summary of the family: Transfer RNA (tRNA) molecules are approximately 80 nucleotides in length. Lineage: Bacteria; Pseudomonadati; Campylobacterota; Epsilonproteobacteria; Campylobacterales; Helicobacteraceae. RNAcentral also lists the same sequence under 11 other names. The record is from RNAcentral.
GCGGGAGUAGCUCAGUUGGUAGAGCACAACCUUGCCAAGGUUGGGGUCGCGAGUUCGAGUCUCGUCUCCCGCUCCA